Zingiber officinale is the source of this 526-nucleotide long non-coding RNA. RefSeq lists it as uncharacterized. The transcript has 2 exons. Lineage: Eukaryota; Viridiplantae; Streptophyta; Magnoliopsida; Zingiberales; Zingiberaceae. The record is from RefSeq and is a predicted model, not a curated record.
GAAGAAACUUUGAGGGAGUCUCCAAGUCUUUCUUGGACUUGCUACUGUUCGAAAGCUACUCCUCCAAUUCAUGUCUUCAAUCUUCAGAUCCCAUGCAUCGAGUUGCAAUGCCGUCACUGUCUUCAAAUAAUGCUUGUAAGGAUCACAAAGGAUGGCCCGAUCGAUUUGCAUUAUAGAGGGCUACCGUGGUGAGUGUGGAGAUAUUGCCGCGAGACAUUGAGCAACAGAAAAACAAGAGUAUAGUCAUAUAGGGGUUGUCGAGGCUUUUGGCAUGGAUGAAACUCACAAGAGAAGGUUUUUGGCAAGAGCAAAUAGCCAUAUCGGGGCGUAUUAGUAACAUCUCAAUUAGUUGUUUCACCAAAUAUCUUGAUAGUUGGUAUUAAGAUUGAGUCGAGAUUCACCAAUGCACUCUUUUGAGUGUUCUAACAAUUAGUCCUAGUGCUCGAGUGUAUUUACUAUUUUCGCGUAGUUCUAAUUAUCUAUAGUAGUGAAAGUGAUUUCUUCAAUCAUAGUAGCUUCUGAUCCG